RNAcentral lists this ribosomal RNA (455 nucleotides) under Streptococcus sp. oral taxon 064. Its description in RNAcentral is "bacterial SSU rRNA". It matches the Rfam family "Bacterial small subunit ribosomal RNA", at positions 28 to 468 of the family's 1533-position model. Lineage: Bacteria; Bacillati; Bacillota; Bacilli; Lactobacillales; Streptococcaceae. The record is from RNAcentral.
GACGAACGCUGGCGGCGUGCCUAAUACAUGCAAGUAGAACGCUGAAGAGAGGAGCUUGCUCUUCUUGGAUGAGUUGCGAACGGGUGAGUAACGCGUAGGUAACCUGCCUGGUAGCGGGGGAUAACUAUUGGAAACGAUAGCUAAUACCGCAUAAUAGUAGAUGUUGCAUGACAUUUGCUUAAAAGGUGCAAUUGCAUCACUACCAGAUGGACCUGCGUUGUAUUAGCUAGUUGGUGGGGUAACGGCUCACCAAGGCAACGAUACAUAGCCGACCUGAGAGGGUGAUCGGCCACACUGGGACUGAGACACGGCCCAGACUCCUACGGGAGGCAGCAGUAGGGAAUCUUCGGCAAUGGACGGAAGUCUGACCGAGCAACGCCGCGUGAGUGAAGAAGGUUUUCGGAUCGUAAAGCUCUGUUGUAAGAGAAGAACGAGUGUGAGAGGGAAAGUUCACA